This 275-nucleotide ribosomal RNA is filed under the name uncultured bacterium. RNAcentral's name for it is "partial 16S ribosomal RNA". It matches the Rfam family "Bacterial small subunit ribosomal RNA", at positions 523 to 796 of the family's 1533-position model. The record is from RNAcentral.
AUACGUAGGGUGCGAGCGUUAUCCGGAAUCAUUGGGCGUAAAGAGCUCGUAGGCGGUUCAGCAAGUCGGCUGUGAAAGUUCGAGGCUCAACCUCGAAAUUGCAGUCGAUACUGCUGUGACUCGAGUCCGGUAGAGGAGAAUGGAAUUCUCGGUGUAGCGGUGAAAUGCGCAGAUAUCGAGAGGAACACCAGUAGCGAAGGCGGUUCUCUGGGCCGGCACUGACGCUGAGGAGCGAAAGCGUGGGGAGCAAACAGGAUUAGAAACCCCGGUAGUCC